RNAcentral lists this ribosomal RNA (253 nucleotides) under uncultured bacterium. Its description in RNAcentral is "partial 16S ribosomal RNA". It matches the Rfam family "Bacterial small subunit ribosomal RNA", at positions 524 to 776 of the family's 1533-position model. The record is from RNAcentral.
UACGAAGGGGGCUAGCGUUGCUCGGAGUCACUGGGCGUAAAGCGCACGUAGGCGGACUCUUAAGUCGGUGGUGAAAUCCUGGAGCUCAACUCCAGAACUGCCUUCGAUACUGAGAGUCUCGAGUCCGAGAGAGGUGAGUGGAACUGCGAGUGUAGAGGUGAAAUUCGUAGAUAUUCGGAAGAACACCAGUGGCGAAGGCGGCUCACUGGCCCGGUACUGACGCUGAGGUGCGAAAGCGUGGGGAGCAAACAGG